Molecule: ribosomal RNA, 420 nt
Filed under: uncultured bacterium
Lineage: Bacteria
Description: bacterial SSU rRNA
Rfam family: Bacterial small subunit ribosomal RNA
Source: RNAcentral
UGGGGAAUAUUGGGGCAAUGGGGGAAAGCCCUGACCCAGCAACGCCGCGUGAAGGAAGAAGGCUUCGGGUUGUAAACUUCUUUUAUCCAGGGAGCGAAGGACGUGACGGUACCUGGAGAAAAAGCAACGGCUAACUACGUGCCAGCAGCCGCGGUAAUACGUAGGGGGCAAGCGUUAUCCGGAUUUACUGGGUGUAAAGGGAGCGUAGACGGCGUAUCAAGUCUGAUGUGAAAGGCAUGGGCUCAACCCGUGGACUGCAUUGGAAACUGGUAUGCUUGAGUGCCGGAGGGGUAAGCGGAAUUCCUAGUGUAGCGGUGAAAUGCGUAGAUAUUAGGAGGAACACCAGUGGCGAAGGCGGCUUACUGGACAGUAACUGACGUUGAGGCUCGAAAGCGUGGGGAGCAAACAGGAUUAGAUACC